Molecule: ribosomal RNA, 377 nt
Filed under: uncultured bacterium
Lineage: Bacteria
Description: bacterial SSU rRNA
Rfam family: Bacterial small subunit ribosomal RNA
Source: RNAcentral
UAAUACGUAGGGUGCAAGCGUUAAUCGGAAUUACUGGGCGUAAAGCGUGCGCAGGCGGUCUUGUAAGACAGAGGUGAAAUCCCCGGGCUCAACCUGGGAACUGCCUUUGUGACUGCAAGGCUGGAGUGCGGCAGAGGGGGAUGGAAUUCCGCGUGUAGCAGUGAAAUGCGUAGAUAUGCGGAGGAACACCGAUGGCGAAGGCAAUCCCCUGGGCCUGCACUGACGCUCAUGCACGAAAGCGUGGGGAGCAAACAGGAUUAGAUACCCUGGUAGUCCACGCCCUAAACGAUGUCAACUGGUUGUUGGGUCUUAACUGACUCAGUAACGAAGCUAACGCGUGAAGUUGACCGCCUGGGGAGUACGGCCGCAAGGUUGAA